CACCGCGGUUAUACGAGAGGCCCAAGUUGAUACACGCGGCGUAAAGUGUGGUUAAGAUAAGUUUCAAACUAAAGUCGAACGCCCCCAGAGCAGUAGUACGCUUCCGAGAGCAAGAAGCCCCCUCACGAAAGUAACUUUACACCAUCUGACUCCACGAAAGCUGUGAAA
This 168-nucleotide ribosomal RNA is filed under the name Calloplesiops altivelis (comet). RNAcentral describes it as "partial 12S rRNA". Lineage: Eukaryota; Metazoa; Chordata; Actinopteri; Plesiopidae. The record is from RNAcentral.